This 640-nucleotide ribosomal RNA is filed under the name Ganoderma sp. 2 YD-2015. RNAcentral describes it as "eukaryotic LSU rRNA". The stretch from base 248 to 401 matches the Rfam family "5.8S ribosomal RNA". Lineage: Eukaryota; Fungi; Basidiomycota; Agaricomycetes; Polyporales; Polyporaceae. The record is from RNAcentral.
AAGUCGUAACAAGGUUUCCGUAGGUGAACCUGCGGAAGGAUCAUUAUCGAGUUUUGACUGGGUUGUAGCUGGCCUUCCGAGGCAUGUGCACGCCCUGCUCAUCCACUCUACACCUGUGCACUUACUGUGGGCUUCAGAUCGUAAAACGGGUCCCUUUACCGGACUUGCGGAGCGUGUCUGUGCCUGCGUUUAUCACAAACUCUAUAAAGUAUCAGAAUGUGUAUUGCGAUGUAACGCAUCUAUAUACAACUUUCAGCAACGGAUCUCUUGGCUCUCGCAUCGAUGAAGAACGCAGCGAAAUGCGAUAAGUAAUGUGAAUUGCAGAAUUCAGUGAAUCAUCGAAUCUUUGAACGCACCUUGCGCUCCUUGGUAUUCCGAGGAGCAUGCCUGUUUGAGUGUCAUGAAAUCUUCAACCUGCAAGCUUUUGUGGUUUGUAGGCUUGGACUUGGAGGCUUGUCGGCCGUUCUCGGUCGGCUCCUCUUAAAUGCAUUAGCUUGGUUCCUUGCGGAUCGGCUCUCAGUGUGAUAAUGUCUACGCUGCGACCGUGAAGCGUUUGGCGAGCUUCUAACCGUCUCAGUUGGAGACAACUUUAUGACCUCUGACCUCAAAUCAGGUAGGACUACCCGCUGAACUUAAGCAU